AACGAACGCUGGCGGCAGGCCUAACACAUGCAAGACGAACGGGCACCUUCGGGUGUCAGUGGCAGACGGGUGAGUAACGCGUGGGAACCUACCCAGUGGUACGGAAUAACUCGGGGAAACCCGAGCUAAUACCGUAUACGCCCUCAGGGGGAAAGAUUUAUCGCCAUUGGAUGGGCCCGCGUCGGAUUAGCUAGUUGGUGAGGUAACGGCUCACCAAGGCGACGAUCCGUAGCUGGUCUGAGAGGAUGAUCAGCCACACUGGGACUGAGACACGGCCCAGACUCCUACGGGAGGCAGCAGUGGAGAAUAUUGGACAAUGGGCGAAAGCCUGAUCCAGCCAUGCCGCGUGAGUGAAGAAGGCCCUAGGGUUGUAAAGCUCUUUCGGCGGGGAAGAUAAUGACGGUACCCGCAGAAGAAGCCCCGGCUAACUCCGUGCCAGCAGCCGCGGUAAUACGGAGGGGGCUAGCGUUGUUCGGAAUUACUGGGCGUAAAGCGCACGUAGGCGGACUGCU
RNAcentral lists this ribosomal RNA (512 nucleotides) under uncultured bacterium. RNAcentral's name for it is "bacterial SSU rRNA". It matches the Rfam family "Bacterial small subunit ribosomal RNA", at positions 28 to 584 of the family's 1533-position model. The record is from RNAcentral.